This 166-nucleotide microRNA precursor is filed under the name Sorghum bicolor (sorghum). Its description in RNAcentral is "miR6219 stem-loop (sbi-MIR6219)". The record is from miRBase by way of RNAcentral. Lineage: Eukaryota; Viridiplantae; Streptophyta; Magnoliopsida; Poales; Poaceae.
UACUGCGGAAGAGGGUCAUAUAACCGGGAGUAAAGGCCCCCUUUAGUCCCGGGUGUGCGAACCGGGACUAAAGGUGGGACAUUAGUCCCGAAACCUUAGUCCCGGCUCACAGUCCGGGACUAGAGGUGGAUUUCGUCCGGGACUAAAGGCCGGUGUUGUAGCAGUG